Non-coding RNA from Podarcis lilfordi (Lilford's wall lizard), 343 nucleotides. Lineage: Eukaryota; Metazoa; Chordata; Lepidosauria; Squamata; Lacertidae. The record is from the annotation of a GenBank genome assembly.
UGCCCCGCAAGACGAAUGCCUCGCAAGACGGAAAACUCGCUAGACGAAAGGGUUUUCCGUUUUGGAGGUGCCUCGCAAAACGAAUCUGCUAUGGGCUUGCUUCGCAAGACGAAAAUGUCUUGCGAGUUCCUGGGGUUUUUUUUUCCUUUCCCCCCUCUUUUUCUAAGUCGCUAAGCCGCUUAUCUGCUUAUCCGAUAAGCUGAUAAGCCGCUAAAAGCCGCUAAUAGCGCUAAUAGCGCUAAUCCGCUAAUCCGUCAAUGGGCUUGCUUCGCAAGACGAAAAAACCGCUAGACGAAGAGACUCCCAGAACGGAUUCUUUUCGUCUUGCGAGGCACCACUGUAC